This 6955-nucleotide long non-coding RNA is filed under the name Medicago truncatula (barrel medic). Its description in RNAcentral is "long non-coding RNA (MTRU_LNC008700)". Lineage: Eukaryota; Viridiplantae; Streptophyta; Magnoliopsida; Fabales; Fabaceae. The record is from RNAcentral.
UAGUUGUUGAAAUUUUAUUAACUUUGAUCUUUAUGGUUCCUCACCACUAGAAAUUUUGGUGUUAGGUUAUCAUGACGAUCUGUAUCAUACCUAACGAACACGUGGACCUGUAGCAAAUAUAUGAGGCAUAUUUGGGUUAUUCUGUAUUACAAAAUGCCAAAAGCUUGUACAAAACUUGCAAAAAGAAAUAAAGAAAAGUCAAAUAUCUUCCCAUUAUUACUAUUUUUUUUUUUUUGUCUAAAUCUGUUAUGUCUUUUGUAGGUUCCAUGUUAAUAAGAUGUCUUCAGCCCAUGUUUAUGCCGGGCUGCUCAUAGGUCACUAUCGAUGACAUGAGUGAAGGUUUAUUGGAAGAUUGUGCUAAACUUGUCAAAGAAAAUUCAAUUCAAGGUAAAAUAUCGCGAUUAAUUAUUCCUAGAUUAGGAUACUGCUACUAGAGUUAUUGUCGAGGGUCUGUGGCCGGAUCAGACAAUUGUUUUCUAUCAGCAAUGUAACAUGUGGUUUACAUUUCAAGAGAUUUAUUUGAUCAAUUGUUGUUUCUCAGGAGUACAAAGGAAACAAAUAAAUAUAAAAUAAUUUGAGAGAGGUGCUAUAUGUCACGAAUACACUUCCUCACUAAUUUCACAAACUCUCUAUUUUUCUAUUUUUUAUUUUUAUACCUGAAAAUAUUUUGAAAAAUAGAACUGCUAGGGCGUAGUAUGUAUCGAUCAUCACGCAACCUCAGCUGCAUAUAUUAAAGAUCCUUAGUGUGUGUCUGCCAAAAAAUAUCACAGUUCAUGAAAACUUGGAUCCAAUGCUAUGAAGUUUGAAUUGUGAAUUUAUAAUGUUUUUUGUUUUCAGAUUUACUUCUAUGAGAAAUUACUUUUGUUUUCUUUCUGAACGUAAUUGUAUAUAUGCUCAUCAUGUUAUGUGAGCAUGACAAAUGAAUAAGUUAUUAAGCUAUUGAUUGUGGAGUGCAUUGCAUUGCUUGUCGUCGCUUUGCCAUGACUUAUAUUACUUGAACAAAUUCUUAUGUCCUACUUAUUGAAGUUCUCUUUGGUAGCAUGGGUUUUGCAUAUUUGUUGCAUACUUUUCUUUGUAGUUACUUUUCUGAAUAUAUAAAAUCAAUAAAAUCUCUGUAAAACAUCUUUAUUUAUCUGUUUUAGUAUUUUUCCCUCAUCUUUAUUUAUAUGCUGCAUUGUGGUUGUAAUGCAUUUGUUUUUCUUCUGAUAUACUGGUUUUGAUUUUGAAGUCCACCGAUGUUUGAACUAUGUUGAAUACAUUGAUUAAGAGUAUAUUUAGAACUAAUUAAGGAAGAAGUUAUAUGAGCGAUUGAGCCUUAUUCUUACAACCCUGUAGGUUUAGUUUCCCUUAGAAAGUUAUUUAUUUUGGUAGGUUAGCUGAAUGGAGGAGUUAAUACUACAAUUAACCGUGUACAAAUAUUUUGUGGUUUAUUUUAGGUUUAGUUUUUAAUAAGAUAUUAAGCAGCGGACGGAAUAAUUUCCUCAUGAGUAUAUCUUCCCCACAGAGCAAAGCAUAGCACAUCAAGAGAAAAAAAGGCAGGGACAAGGUAAAAUUUGCUAGGUCAAUAACAAAAUGGUUUNCUCAAUGAAACUCUUUGGUGUGAUUUUUGAACUAGGUGAGCUCUCCUUUUAUAGGGAGAGUUUGUAACUAAUUUGGAGAAACUUAAGAAUUAAGUAAACUUAAAAAUUAAGCAACCCAUAUUAGCUCAAGUAACAAACUAAUCGGAUAAGUUCAAAAAGAAACAAAUGUUGGAACAAAAUGUGUUUAACAUCAAACCUUAAGAGUUUUGAUGAUAACAAAGUAUUAAAAAUUGUCAAUUGGAUAUGCUAAUAUUUGUUCAAGCGUACAUGACUAUAGACAAAACUUGAUAUCUUAAAAAGGUCCUGGAAGAACAAUAAAGAGCAAAGGCAUCAACAAAAAGAGAAGCUUAACGCGCCUGAAGAAAACUGCUCCUGAAGUUAAAGCGCUCCUGAUGACGUCAUCAUAAGCAAGUUCAUCAUAAGCUAGUUCAUCAGAAGCAAGUUUAUCAGAAGCUGUGAAUCACCAGAAGCUGCAGUUCAUCAGGAGAUGCAACUUAAAGUUUCAAAAAGUUGUUCAACGGAUUCAAACUCGCCUAAAGAUUGCAGAAGACUAGAGAAGUGAAGCAACGACUAUUUUGGAGGGUUUUGAAAGCAUUGGAUGCUUGUUCUUCAAAGAGCGUUGACAAAGUAUGUUCGAACGAAGUGUACAACCACUACCUCCACUACUCUGUUUUGUCUCUGCUACAAGACAAGAAAAACAGCUAUGCCUGCAACAAUGUUCCUACACAUUGGGAACACGUUUGAAAUUGAUCCUUCAUAGGACAAUAACCAAAUCAGGCAAAGGAUCAUUAGUGAUUGAUCAAAAGUUUCAAACGACUCUAUUUUGAAUGUGCUGGCAAUUCAACGUCUCUCACACACUUCUAUUUAAAGGAGUUAAGACUCAGAGUUCCGAGAACAAUACCAAGAAUUAAAAGCGCCAAAACUCUGCUGAAAUUGUUUUGCAUUCAAGGUUCACUUAGAAUUUCUUAUCAAAGCUCAUAUCUUAGAAAUUCUAGACUCUUUAGAGUCUGUAUCUGAAUUGUAUUGUGAACACCACUGAUUGUAUAUCAAGUGUUCAAACUCAAACAUAAUCUUUGUAAUUCUGUUUUAAUUGAGAAGUCUCUUGCAGUUGUGCUUGAGCAAUAGAAGUCUCUUGAUUGUGUUUAGGAGCAUAGGAAGUCUCUUGCAGUUGUGAUUGAGCAUUUGAAGUCUCGUACUAAGUUUAGUAUUGAACAAUUGUAAUCAGAUAUUAUUUUUAGUGAACUUCUCUUGGAAGUGCAAGGGGGAUAGGACUGACUUCCCGUUUGUGGAAGGAACCUGUAUAAAUUGCUUUGUGUCUUUCUUUCUUCUCUCUCUCUCUCUCUCUGUUUUUAUCCGCUGCAAUUAGUUCUGAACAUCACUUAUGAAGUAAAACUUUAUCUGCUUCUAAACAGUGUUUUCAGAUAGGAGAAAAAGAAGAAAAAACAAACACAAUUCAACCCCCCUUCUUGUGUUUUUCUCACCUUCAACAAACCCACAAGAUUAGAUGAAACAAACUAAUGAAAGAAAGAUAAGAAAUUCAGUUGGAUUCUCAAUCUUAUCACAACAAACAUAACCUAAAAUUGUGAGAAGUGAUAUCCAUGAAUAAAGAAUAAUAAUAAUAAUAAUUUUCAUCAUUAUCAUGUAUUUAAAAUUAAAUACCACUAUUUAAACACUACUAACGUGUUUGUUCUAUUUUACGUGGGACCUCCACACUCUAUUUUUUCAAUUCACACAACACUAGAUCAAAGUUUAAUAACUUGGUGUUUAAUCUUCCAACCUUCCAAUUUCUUUCCAUCUUCACACCAAUGUUCCAACACAUGUUUCGAAGAGAAAAUGGAACUAACGAAGGGUUCCCGAAAGCCUGCAAAGCACUCCAGGAGUCCCCUCCACCCUAAGAUGCCGCCAAUGGUACUUAAUGGAAAAUUCCAGAGCCAACACAAAUCCAAAUAACUAGACCUCUCAAAAACCGAAUUUUGACCCAAGUUGCAAGAAAAACAACCCAAAAAAAUCCUCGAUAUUCAUGAAAAAUACUACCACAAGCAGCUAAGCCAUACAACUGAACCAACCUUAUUUACCUUAACAAAAGGCAAAGUGGGAGCUUUUCAAACGACAAUAAUAAUAGCAGCAACAAUGGUAUGAAUAGAGUAAACAACAGCCGAAAAUAUCAUGAAUUUGAGAACAGCAUGUAAGACCCGUAAUUUUGAUGCGACUAAAUUUAGGGCUUUGUAUUUGUUUUGAUGUUUUUUUUUUUGUUAAUAAAUGAGUUUAUGAAAUGUCUUGACGUUGUCGGAAUUCCAAAAUUUGUUUUCUAUUGAUUUUGAGAAAACAUGUUGGAAGUAUUUGUUGUUUAAAUUUUGAAUGGACCAAGAGCGUCAUGAAAAUUUAAACAAGAGUUUUACACAUUGCUCGUAUGGGUAGAUGAUCUCAUUAUAUUUCUCCAAAUUUUUGAAACAAGAUUUUUGUUGGAAAGUUAUUUUGAUUUCAAAACCAUUACUUGAAAUGAGAAACUCGUUGAGCAAUUUAACUACGUGAGAUCUAGAAUUGAUUCACAUAUGCCGUUUGCUACUCUGUGUGACUGAUUUUGACAUUCAGAAUGUUUGUUAGGCAUGAAAAUGUAAUAUCCCGCAUGUGAGAUUAAGUCACAUAUCGAUACAAGUUAUUUUAUCCUUGGAACUUUCAUGAUCGAAUUAUAUGAUUACAACGGAUUACGGAGAAUGAAAUAUGCCGCUUAAAGUUUUUACAGUAUUUUUUUUAUCAGAUAAAUUAAGUUAAGAAGACCUAGAAGGGGUAAAAUGGUCAUUUCCCAUAAGUGGGGUAUAUAUAAGACAAAAUAUCCAAAAAAGUUUCCACACUUUUCUACCACAUUCUCUCACCCAAAAUCAGAUUUUUCUUCCUCCUUCUCCUAACAUCACGCUAUCUCCCUCUUUCUCAUGCUAUCCACCAAAAAUCAGCACUUCACCAUGGAAUCAUCAUGCUUAUGUGUUUUGCUUGAGUUAUGGAAGAAGUAGAACCUCUAAACAACUUGUUCUCUCAUUCUUCCUCUCCUAAGAAGUUCAUUCAAGUGAUCCUAGCAUGGUUUGAAGAAGUUAGAGCUAAGAUGGUGAUCAUGUAAAGAGAAUUGAAGUUUGUGUUGUAUUUUGAGCUAGAGGCAAGCUUGAGCAAGAUUAAGGCAAGACACCAAGAGCUAGGGUUUGGCUUGGCAAGAAGAUAGAGGCAGGGGCUGAAUGUUGAAACUGAAUGUAAGUAUAAGUGAUUAAUAGCUUAAAUUGAGGUAAAAGUGAUUAUUUUGAGAAGAAAUUUAAGUUAUGUUGAUUCAUUAGAAGUAUAAGCUGUUAUUUCAUUUGGCAUUCUGUGAUGACUCUGUUUUUGGGCUGUUAGUAGUAUCAAUUUUGCUGUUGUUGCUGUUCGGAAUGAAAAGCUAGCAGUUAAAAGUCAUAAGUUGUUCCAAAAGCUAUCAGAAUUGAUUAUUGAGUUAAAACAAGUUAGAAUUUCAAUAUAAGUGUCUUAGGAGAUGUGUAAACAUGUUUGCUUUGAUUCUGGAAAAUUUGAAUUGAAAUGGAAUUGUUUAAAGGUCAUAAGCUGUCAGUUAAGCUGUUGAUUAAGUUGCUGUAACAGUGGUUCAUAGAGAUGAUUAUACAUGUUGGAACUGUUUUGUUGAAGGUUGGGUCGAAAUUGAUAUGACAAAAGUCAUAAGUUGCUAUUUAAUUCGUUUGGAUAAUAGCUUAAAUUAGAAUUUAAGUUGUUUCAGGUAUUAUCUUGUGAAGACCAGCUUAGGAGAGAUAUGUUGAAUUGGUAUAUGAGUAAUGGAAAUAUUAUAAGCUGUUCUAGUAAUGGUAAUUAAGCUGUUUUAGAAGUACUGAAUUCUGGUGCAGGGACUGAAAUGGGAAUUUUUCUAUAUGCUGAUCGAUGAAAUAGGAGUAUGUCACAAGUGGCACUACUACACAUAUGUGUUUUAGUAACAUUCAUCUUGCAACACUUGUUUAAUAGUUACUAAUAUAGAGAUUUUUCUUAACAUUUUUUAGUAAGUGUUACAUUAGUGUCACUCUUUUUCGGUGGUGUUUAUAUCAAAACACAUUCAUAUUCUACUGAAACAAAAAAAACAAAAAACAUUUCAACUCUUUUAACACACACACACACUCUCUCUCUCUCUCUCUCUCGUCUUCGAGCUAACCAGAAGCAAACGUUCGAACAUGGCCGCAAAGCUAAAUGUGCGAUUACAAUCACAGGUGAAUUCACAAUUCUUCAAUUCCGAAUUCAAUUUCAUCUUCGAUUUCGAAAUUGAUUUUCAACUUCGAUUUCGUAUUUCAUUCAUCUUCGAUUUUAUUUGAUUUCGUCUUUGAUUCUGUAUACGAAUUCAUCUUUCUGUAUUCAAUUUCAUCUUCCAUUUCGUAUUUGAUUUCAUCUUCGAUUAUGUAUUUGUUUUCAUUUUUGGUUUCGCAUCUCCUUGCUUAUUUUUCUUUCACUUUGGUUUUACACGUUGAAAAGAUGGUUGAGAUGAAGUGUGAGUUUUGUAUUGUGUUGGUUUUUGUUUUGAUUUUGCUUUUGUUGUGCUUCAUGGUAGAAUGCUUGUUUUGUGUUUGAUAAAAUGCUGCAACCAAACUUUAUGACACAAUGCCUGUUUUCUGUUUGAUAAAAUGCUUCAAUCAACCUUUUAUGGUACAGUGCUUAAUGUUUGUCUGAUAAAAUGCUUGAACCAAAUUUUAUUUACUUCUCUAAUCUCAGAAAUGUGAUUCUCCUGCAUCUAUGCUCUUAAAAAUGUUUUUCGAUUCUGCAAAAUGAACAGAAUUGUUUGUUCGGAAUGCGAUUAUGUGUAAAUUUUAGAUUCGAUCUUAACUAAAAUGUUGGAAACUUAGGAUUGAAGAAAUGGAUAUUAGUUCCUCAAUGAUACAGAAGUCGGUCUGUUUCCCGUCACGCACAACCAAACUAUUGCUGCUUUAGCUCCGACUGUGGGUGGCUAUCAGAGCUAUUAGAAACCUGUAAUAGUGCAAAAGUUCACUUGGCAAUGUAUGUGUUUAGUUGUUUGGCUGAUUUAUGUGUGUAUAAGCUUCCCAUUGCAUAGGAGAAAUGUAACUUUUCAUGUUUGAAGCAAUAUAAAAACUACAAGGAAUCUCCACCUUCAGAUUCAUAGGACAAAAGUUCACUACUGGAUGUAGUUGUUGAAAUUUUAUUAACUUUGAUCUUUAUGGUUCCUCACCACUAGAAAUUUUGGUGUUAGGUUAUCAUGACGAUCUGUAUCAUACCUAACGAACACGUGGACCUGUAGCAAAUAUAUGAGGCAUAUUUGGGUUAUUCUGUAUUACAAACUGCCAAAAGCUUGUACAAAACUUGCAAAAAGAAAUAAAGAAAAGUCAAAUAUCUUCCCAUUAUUACUAUUU